RNAcentral lists this ribosomal RNA (415 nucleotides) under uncultured bacterium. RNAcentral describes it as "bacterial SSU rRNA". It matches the Rfam family "Bacterial small subunit ribosomal RNA", at positions 355 to 786 of the family's 1533-position model. The record is from RNAcentral.
UCGGGAAUAUUGCGCAAUGGAGGAAACUCUGACGCAGUGACGCCGCGUGCAGGAAGAAGGUUUUCGGAUUGUAAACUGCUUUAGACAGGGAAGAAAAAGACAGUACCUGUAGAAUAAGCUCCGGCUAACUACGUGCCAGCAGCCGCGGUAAUACGUAGGGAGCAAGCGUUAUCCGGAUUUAUUGGGUGUAAAGGGUGCGUAGACGGGAAGACAAGUUAGUUGUGAAAUCCCUCGGCUUAACUGAGGAACUGCAACUAAAACUAUCAAUUCUUGAGUGCUGGAGAGGAAAGUGGAAUUCCUAGUGUAGCGGUGAAAUGCGUAGAUAUUAGGAGGAACACCAGUGGCGAAGGCGACUUUCUGGACAGUAACUGACGUUGAGGCACGAAAGUGUGGGGAGCAAACAGGAUUAGAUACC